This is a long non-coding RNA of Perca fluviatilis (European perch), 2505 nucleotides long. RefSeq lists it as uncharacterized. The record is from RefSeq and is a predicted model, not a curated record. NCBI's taxonomy places the organism in Eukaryota, Metazoa, Chordata, Actinopteri, Perciformes, Percidae. The transcript has 3 exons.
UCGUUUCUUUUAGUAAUUUAGUAACAAUGUGGAUUAUUUUAUACAGAACACAUUUUAAAGUCUUCCUUUUGAAAAAAAAAAAUUAGAUCAAACACCUUGGUGCCCACCAGCUGCGGGGUAAAGUUAUUGUUAUCAAUGAAAUCGCUGGUGAAAAUACUUGACGUGCUUUUUCCUGCUUCUCCAGGAAAAAUGGCUAACUGCUAAUGUUAGGCUAGCUUGUCAGAUACAUUUUGCUUCCGGUGUGUGUAGUUCGGAGGGGAUGAUACCUCGCCAAGGAUCUCAACCUGUUUCUGAGAGGAUUACCAACCUAGAAAGCAGCACGACACAUAUAACAGAACGUUGAGGAGAACAGGGACUGGCGGAGGGCUGGAGUAUCCGAACGAGCUGAGUGCCGACAUGGUCAUGUUAUUCAUGAUGACCUGGUGCAUCUGGGCAUUUUGGAUCAUCAUCAGCUCUACAAGGAGGAAGGCUGACUGACAGACGCUCCCCACCACCACCUCCUCCUUCCCUGGCUGUGGGCAAGCUUUGUAUAGUGCCUAUCACGAACUCGAGCCAAUUAACACGUCUCUAUGCACACUCUGAGUUUAUUAAUACAUAAUAAACUAGUUAGAAACCAACACCAAUUAUCUUGCAUUGGGCCAUUUAAAUGUAAGUGGUUGGGGGAGGUGUGUCGUAGGCAGUGGGAAGGGUUUGUAAUGAUGCUGCAGAACAGUACACCAGUUUAUGGUCAAUGCAAGGGAUUUUUAGUCAAAAUCAAUGGGAUGAGACAUCCACUAUCCCCUUGAGAGCAUGCAGCCGUUAGAGAAAAGCAUAUUAAUGCUGUUCGCCUUAGACGGAAUGAGCUCCCAUUCUGUUGUGUGUUUGCUUUUUGUUUAUUGUGUGCUUGAUUAGUCCCAUGGUGAUCGUCUCCAUCUAAGGCAGCCAAGCUGGUGUCAUUGUGUCUCAACUCCCUCUCUCCAGUGCUCUUCUCUGAAUGCUGACUUAAUCACACACAACCUGUGCCGGGCUCCCUUUUUCUGUUUUGAUCUGACAUCCCCAGUGCCAAGCUGUCUCCUCACUCUGACUGGGUCUCUGUGUGUAUCCAGAUGCAGCAUUGACCUGGACGUGAUCCCUAAUUAAAUACAGAAACAGGGAUGAAAGAUGGUUUAGUGCAACGUAUGACUCGCCAUUCCUCAUGAGAAUUAGAUUUAACCUUACUGCCGAAGGCCUGCACAGACUAUGAGCCUUUGUGCUAUUAUGCUCCAUCUAAAACUUUCCUUCGUGUCAGAGGCUCAUUAGAUAAUUCAAUUUAGAAUAGUGUAUGAUUUCCUCAAUUAAAUCAUAAACUAUCUGUAACAGUGAGUCACACACUGAUGUACUGUUCUGCCUCUUUUUCUCUCAAUGAAGAAAAGCUGCAGAGCAGAAUCAGACUGUACUGCAAAAGAUCACACCACCACUGACUUUUUCUUAGUUUUUUUAAUUUUAGUCCAGACAUGUGUUCCUUUUGAAUAGGAUUAAGCUCUUUACACAAAAUAGCACAUGUGAGUUCCUGUGACAUAAACAUGUGAAUACAAAGUAUUCAUUUGCAUAUUGUAACGACUCAUACAAAAUGGAGUACCACCUUUUUAGUGUAAAACCGCUACCUCCUUCAGAUUACGGUUGCAAUUAAUAUUGUGCUUUUUAAAAAGCACACAGAUACAAUAAGUGUCCACAUCUGUUAAGAAUUUGAUAAGAAGGAGGAAAAUUCAUUACAUUUAAAUAUAGAGCUUUUGGUGUUGUCUGUUUUCACUGGCAAAUUAUUUGUAUGUACCAGAGCCACAUUUCCACUUAAUUUUUUUUCUAAACCCAACAAAAAGCAACAAGAAGGUGACGGUGAUGAUACCCUAGUUAUCACCAUCUUGUGUUUCUUUAUUAUGUCUUACUUCAUCCAUUAUUAUAUGGCAAAUGACAUGUUUGUAUGAAUUCAACUGCUGGUUCAUAGUUCAUAGAAAAUCUUGAGAGUACAGACAGAUAAAAGGCAUCAGGAGUAAAAGAGACAGAGCUGCUAGAGUGAGAUCACACUGACAUACUGCCAGGCAAAGUUCAGGACCGGGCGGGUAAAAAAACACAGUGACAAGUCACAUUACCUAAAAAACUGAACAAUGCCUUGGGGUUACAGCUGACAGCACGAUAUUAUUAUGAAAUCAACAACAGUCACAUUGGUAAAUAAUGCUCACAUUCACACUGAGAGCAGCAUACUGUAGAAACACAUUGAGUGUGAAAUGAUGUAGGUGUAUAAUUUUGUUGAUGGUUCGAAAUGCGUUAAUUGAGUAAAGUGUUUAUGUGUGUAUGUGCCUAUGUGUACGUUUGUUGCCAGCUUCAUAGUGAUGUGGGUAAUGGAAAGAAUGAGGCAAUGUUGUUUGUUCAUUUGCCUGCACAUAAUAGAUUUAUUUAAAAUUUCAUGAGUUUGAAUGCAAGGACUGUUUGUUCCCAGCUGAAUUGGAUGCGGCACAAUUUGCCUGGGGUGAUGUGGAGGAAAGGUGUGUG